Molecule: ribosomal RNA, 1701 nt
Filed under: Microsporidium sp. M1
Lineage: Eukaryota; Fungi; Microsporidia
Description: bacterial SSU rRNA
Rfam family: Microsporidia small subunit ribosomal RNA (bases 1-1247)
Source: RNAcentral
GUAGAUGCUAUUUUCUGAGAUUAAGCCAUGCAAUGUUUAUUAAUAAGGACAAAUAGCUCAGUAAAACUAGGCGAUCUAACCUCGGCAUCGGAUAACCUUGGGAAACUAAGGCUAAAGGCUGAGGGUGACGCCUAGCACUAUCAGCUAGUAGGUAGUGUAACGGACUACCUAGGCGGUGACGGUUAACGGGAUACGAGAGUGUGAUACCGGAGAGGGAGCCUGAGAAAUGGCUCCCACAUCCAAGGAUGGCAGCAGGCGCGAAAAUUGUCCACUCUUUAUAGGAGACAGUUAUGAAAAGUAAAAACGGUGGGUCUUGUAAAGAAAGAUUCUAAAAUUGGAGGGCAAGUUUGGUGCCAGCAGCCGCGGUAAUACCAACUCCAAGAGUGUGUAUGAGAGUUGUUGCAGUUAAAAGGUCCGUAGUCGUUCAUGGAAAUAAGGCUUCGGCCUGUGCUCAAUGUGGAGGGGCUGAUGGGGACCAUAGUAUACAGUGGCGAGAGAUGAAAUGUCUAAACCCUCUGUGGACUCAGCGAGGCGAAAGCGGUGGUCUAGUAAGUACUCGGUGAUCAAGGACGAAGGGUAGAGGAGCGAAAGUGAUUAGAUACCGCUGUAGUUUUACCAGUAAAAGAUGCCGACUAUCCUGGCGUGCGCGGACGAAAGCGAUGCGCAGGCUGGGAAUAGAGAAAUCGAUAAGUGUUCGGGCUCUGGGGAUAGUAUGCUCGCAAGAGUGAAAAUUAAAGAAAUUGACGGAGCUACACCACAAGGAGUGGAUUGUGCGGCUUAAUUUGACUCAACGCGAGGAAACUUACCAGGCCCUUUUGCACCUAAGAUACGAGGUGCGAAGGAGUGGUGCAUGGUCGUUGGAAAUUCAUGGGAUGACUUUGAGCUUAAAUGCUUGAAUGAGUGAGACUCCGUAGACUGGCUGCGUUAAGCAGCAGGAGGGUGGAGCUAUAACAGAUCAGUGAUGCCCUUAGAUGGCCUGGGCUGCACGCGCAAUACAGUGGGACGUAGGUAUAGAGACGUACAGGUCCCCAGAUGGAUUGCCGAUUGUAAGUUCGGCAUGAAAGCGGAAUUCCUAGUAAGCACGUAUUAUCAAUGGGUGCUGAAUGCGUCCCUGUAGCUUGUACACACCGUCCGUCAGUAUCUCAGAUGUUUUUUAGGAUGAAGAGUUUCGAUUCUGAAUAAUGAAAAGUAGAUAAGAUGUAAGUCGUAGCAAGGUUUCGGUGGGAGAACCAGCCGAAGGAUCAUUACGAGACAACUUAGCUCGUGUACGGGAUGUAUAGGCUCCGACCGUGAGGAACGACGUAGAGGAUACGAUAGGCGGCCCGCACGGGCCGCGCUCGGAAUGGGUGGGAAGCCACGAGGAACGCCCUGAACUUAAGCAUAUCAAUAAGGGCAGGAAGAGAAACAAACUUGGAUUUCCCCAGUAGUGGCGAACGAACAGGAAGAAGCUCCUAUUGCAGUGCCAGCUGCGGCGACGGCUGGAAAACCCUAUGGAAAGAGGGGCCAGAGGUGGUGAUAGCCCACGGCAGCGCGAGGGGUAGAUUAGUAUUGCUUGGUAGUGCAGUAUGAACGGGUGGUAUCAGCACCCAAGGCUAAAUAUGGGUCGGAGACCGAUAGCGAAGAAGUACUGCGAAGGAAAUAUGAAAACAACUGCUAGUGGUGAAAACAGAAAGUACACGAGAAAAGCCUAGACGCUAGGAC